Ailuropoda melanoleuca (giant panda) is the source of this 1927-nucleotide long non-coding RNA. RefSeq lists it as uncharacterized. NCBI's taxonomy places the organism in Eukaryota, Metazoa, Chordata, Mammalia, Carnivora, Ursidae. The record is from RefSeq and is a predicted model, not a curated record. The transcript has 4 exons.
GCAUGGUAGAGUUGGCCAGAACUGUUUUCACUGAAUGGUUAGGGAAGUCCUUUCUGAUCUGGUGGCACCUGAGCAGAGAUCUGGAGGAAGUAAGGGAGUGAGUCUCCUGGAUCCCUGAAGAGAGCAUUUCAUGUGCAGAGAGAGCAGCAAGUGCAAAGGCCCUGAGGUAGAACACAGUUGGUGUGUUGAAGGAAAAGGCAGGAGGGCAGUGUGACUGGAGUCAGAAGCCACAAACAGAGAGAGCCGGCACCCCUGUUCUGCCAUUGAUCGGGUCUUCACCACCCAACCUGAAGAUUCAAGGUUUUAUUUUUAAGUAAUCUCCACACUCAACACGGUGCUCGAACUCACAACCCCGAGAUCAAGAGUCGCACGUUCUACUGACUGAGCCAGCCAGGUGCCCCAGAGCUUCUGUUUCCUGUCAGUCAGUUAUCACUUGCAAAACAGCUGCCUGCAAAAAAAGGAUUGGAGGAUAGUCAUUGUACUGCCCUCGGUUAUCCGUAAGCGGGUAUGGGAAGGUGGAUGGAGGAAGCCAGCAGGAGAAGGCAGAACUUAUUCUCCUAAAUUGUUGCAACUGUGUACAACAAACAGGCAUAGAUUUUGUUUGUUUGUUUUAAAGGAAACAUGAUAUGGAAAAAUUAAAACCUGUGAAAUUACUGGAAGAUGCUGGGAUGUGGCCAUUCUGAGGUGGUCCUUGGUGGGAGCUGUUCAGUCUGGAUAGAGAGAAGGCUGGAAGAGAGAGAAGAAAAGAGAAGCUUUGCCUAGUGGAUACCCCAAAAUUUUCUGGACUUAAUAAUAAUAAAAGGCAAAACUUCAUUUGUCCAAAGAAAGCGUGUAGAACUGGAUGGUUGUCUGUCAUGGUCAUAGCCAAGCAAAAAGCAGGGUACAGAGAAGGCAUCUCUAUUAGUGUUCUCACCGUAACAAAUGCUGCAAACCGAGUGGAUUAAAAUGAGCAAGCCGUAUGCUCUCAUCUUCUGGAAGCUAGACGUCUGGAAGUGAGAAAACUUGUGCCCUGGAAAAGUCCCGAACCUUCCCUGAGGUUGCAGAAAUGGUUCAGGGCGAGCACUGAACGCCAGCCCCGGACCUCAAGUCCCGGUUCCCUGUGCUCCUCCCACAGCACAGUAACUGUCUAGACUGGUUUGUUUUCUGUCUUUUACUGGCAUUUUUAGGAGGGCUUAGCAUGAUCUUUAAACCUGGAUGUUUCGCUGUGGAAUCUCAGAGCAUUUAAAACUCAUGACCCUGAGAUCAGGACCUGAGCUGAGAUCAAGAGUGGGACGCUUAGCCGGCAGAGCCACACGGGCGCCCCAAAGCAUGAGCACUGAGUCAUGUAUGGAAUUGUUGAAUCAUUAUGUUGUGUACCUGAAACUAGUAUAACAUUGUAUGUUAGUUAUACUUCAAUAAAAAUAAAUGAAUAAAAGAAUUAUGUUAGACCCUUACAAAAAUAGAUAGGUAGGUAGAUCAUAGAUGAUAGAGAGAGAGAGAAAAUAGAGAGAAAGAGAGAGAGAGAUAAAAUGGCUUUCUACAUGCACCAUAAUCCAAAUCCACGGGAAUGAGCUAAAAAUUAGAAAGGAGCUGUUAUUUGUGUUUAGUGAGGACCAGCAUUAAGCUGGGUGUUUAGUGAGAUAUGUUUUCUCAAUAAAAUUUUACAAGAUAUCAUGACCCAGGUGAUUCCCUCACUCUCUCUCUCCCUUCUACAGCUGAGAAAACUGAGAUUUCUUGGCUUAAAUGAUUUUUCCCAAAGUCACACAGCUUGUAAGAGAUGGAAGUUGGGAUUGCCAACCUCGGUUUAUUUGACUCCACAAUUCAUAAAAACAUGAUUCUCUGGGGCGCCUGGGUGGCGCAGUCGUUAGGCGUCUGCCUUCGGCUCAGGGCGUGAUCCCGGCGUUAUGGGAUCGAGCCCCACAUCGGGCUCCUCUGCUGUGAGCCUGGU